ACGGAUGGUCGAAGUAAGAGCAGCUUGUAACUGGUCUUGUCUAUCUCGAUAUGAAGCUCUUUCUCCCCUCAGGCUUUUGCCUCAGGACAGUUUGCUGGGCCUUUUAAAAUAAUGCUGUGUUUUUCUGGUGAAUCAUUUGAAAUACUUUUCCAAGAUCAGUUGAACGCGAUAGAUGAACGAGGAAGGUCGACGGUAAAGUAGGUUUACAGUUAAGUAAUUUGCAUAUAGAACAUAAUCGUGAUGCAGUGAUACAUCCUAUGGUAGCCUAACUACGGGGCUAGUGAAUAAUUAAUGUAUUUCUAUUCUUAGUACGCACUAAAGUGGCACAACUUUAAAGAAAAAAGUGCCUGUUCGCUCACUUAAGGUGAAAUUGGUUGUGAGAAAAUUAAUCAAAUUUAGAAGCUAAUGACCACAAAAUGGAUUAAUAUACUUAACCCACAUUUUAAGGGAUUUUACUUUCUGAUUAUUUCUAGUGCUAGAGUGUUUACUAUUGAGUGAUUGUCACAUUUGGCAUAAGUUCAUUAUUUUUGAUGUACAUAGUGUAUGUUUUCUCAGAUUUUGACAUUGCAGUAUGAAGUGCUUUUAACGGUUUGCUAUCAGUUGAUGAAAGCUACUGCUCCCACGAUUCGACAUCACCUCAGAAAAGUGUGCGCUUGUAUUGUAACUCGUCGUUCAAAGAAAAACACGUGGCUUAAAAAAGCUUUUAUGUCCCUUACACAAAGGUACAAAUUUACUGAAUGUUUUCAGCGAGGUAUCAUAACUGCUUAGAAAACAUCAUGUAAUUAAUGUACAAAAUAUAGUUCAAUGUGAUACCCGUGUCGCUAGAAUGAAAUUGAAAGUAAAUUAAACAUAUUCACUAAUUUGAGAUGUGUUGACUUUGAGUCUCCACAGAUCGUUCUGUAGGGGAUAUAAUCUCAAAGUAAUGAGCCAUGCGCGCAUAAUAUAAUAAAAAAAAGUGACGCUUGAUUUGAAUGAACAAAACGAAUGUUAAGGAAGCUAUAAAUUGAGAUACAUGAACCAAUGUAGAUCUGGAGGAUAAUAAGUCAAUCAAUAUAAUUUCAAUCAGGCAUGAACCGCCUUUAUACCACAUCUCCUUUAAAUGCUUUAGAACCUGAAGACUCAUUCAGCCCAAUUCACCGGAAUAUUUAUAAUAACCCUUAUACACCCAGUCGUCGCCAACAUCACCAUUUUAAUAGUCUUACGGCAUGUAGAGCCGCUACUGACUUCAGUAAUAAAGAUUCACAUUCGAAUCGGAGUUCAGAUAAUGCAUUGGAGGACUCGAAAUUAACAGAAACCGAGCUAGCUUUGACGCUGUGUGAUACCUUGCCUGUUCAUAACGGUAAGUAGAUAUAUAUACAUAUAUUGCUCCCAGAGGCCCUGCUAUUGAACGAUGUUAUGCAUCCUUAUUCUGAUUACUUAAAGAGGGGCGAAAUAGCUAUAAAACUUGUUAAUCAAUAUAAACCGAAUAUAGGAAUGUUUGAUUUAUUUUCGCUUUUUAGAUCCGCUAAACGCUAAUUUAGCUUACAAUAUCUACUUGUCCUGUGAUGUCGGUAAAAUCUAUA
Hermetia illucens (black soldier fly) is the source of this 1562-nucleotide long non-coding RNA. RefSeq lists it as uncharacterized. Lineage: Eukaryota; Metazoa; Arthropoda; Insecta; Diptera; Stratiomyidae. The record is from RefSeq and is a predicted model, not a curated record. The transcript is spliced from 3 exons.